Molecule: long non-coding RNA, 4448 nt
Filed under: Pan troglodytes (chimpanzee)
Lineage: Eukaryota; Metazoa; Chordata; Mammalia; Primates; Hominidae
Description: long non-coding RNA NONPTRT012434
Source: RNAcentral
CCGGAAGUGGUGUUGCGGAGGGAACUGUGGGGAGAGCAGAGGGGCAGCUCUGCUGGAGAGACCUGAGGCUUGCAUCGCUGGGCCCGGCCGGGUCGCUGCGGCUGGGCUGGAGGUGAGGCGAAAGAAGGGCAUCCUCUGAUGGGAGUGGACCGGAGUCCGCUAAAGCGAAGCAUUCCAGGGUUCGUUGCGGGAAAUACAGUCUGGUUUUGCCCCCCGUAUGAAUUGAGGGAAGGUCAAGGAUGCAUUCCAGGAAAGUUCUAUAAAAAUAUACCAUCAACUCCAACCUGAUAUUUGACCUAGCCAUGGAAAACCUCAUUGGCUCCUCACUGGAUCAGACCAUAAAAAUGAUCCAGGAAUGAAAAUCUAAGAUAAAUUCCCACCACUUCAAGAUGUUCUUAUACAAGUCAACAGUCUAGCAGAUCAGCCAGUCUCUUUCAUCAUCAAGCAGACAUACUCAAGGUACCAACACAGCAAAGGCACAAAAUGUCUCUAUAUCAGUAUUUUUCAUGGUAUAUGUGAGACCCAUUAGUGAGGCAUGAAAUCAAUUCUGUGAGUCACAAUGAACAUUUUUCUAAAAAACAAAAUAAAAUGUAAAAUACCAAAGUGUUUUGCAUGAAUCCUUUGCCUGAAUUGUGCACACUGCAAGGAAUGCUGAGGUCAAUUUCAAUAUGCGAGAGGGGUAUUUGAUGGAGGAGAUACGAUGAAUAGAAUGUAUAUUGGCUAAGAAAUGGUUUUCAGUCGUUGAUUCCUGGGUGUCUUGCUUGAUUUUCAUAAUAGCAAGGUUAAUGUUCUAUAGUCAAGUUUUAUAUUACAAUUACUUGCAACUAGUUGUGAAGUCUGAAAUAUUCGAUUCAAUUGCAAACUUUGAGUGUAGUUUUUGAAAAGAUGUUAUUUAGACUGUAUAUUUUUUUCUUCUUUUUUGAGUUAGUGCCAAUUAUAACAUUUUAAUCAAACUGGAACAAAUUGCUAUUAAAAUGGAUCAUUUCUUUAUUAAAAGAAAGAGGAAUAGUGAAGUGAAAUACACAGAAGCAUGUUCAAGUUCAUCUGUUGAAUCUGGAAUUGUGAAUAGUGACAAUAUUGAGAAAAAUACUGACUCCAAUCUGCAAACUUCAACUUCAUUUGAGCCACAUUUCAAAAAGAAAAAAGUAAGUGCAAGACGUUAUAAUGAAGAUUACUUAAAAUAUGGCUUUAUCAAAUGUGAAAAACCCUUUGAAAAUGACAGACCUCAGUGUGUUAUUUGUAAUAAUAUUCUUGCGAAUGAAAGCUUAAAACCUUCGAAAUUAAAAAGGCACUUAGAAACUCAGCAUGCUGAACUUAUUGAUAAGCCUCUUGAAUAUUUUCAAAGAAAGAAAAAAGACAUAAAGUUAUCAACACAAUUUCUUAGUUGUUCUACUGCUGUUAGUGAGAAAGCCUUAUUAUCAUCAUAUUUAGUUGCAUAUCGUGUGGCAAAAGAGAAAAUAGCUAACACAGCUGCUGAAAAAAUUAUUCUUCCAGCAUGUUUGGAUAUGGUGCGUACAAUAUUUGAUGAUAAAUCAGCUGAUAAAUUAAAAACUAUACCUAAUGAUAACACAGUAUCUCUUCGAAUUUGUACUAUUGCAGAACAUUUAGAAACAAUGCUUAUUACUCGUUUACAGUCUGGUAUAGAUUUUGCAAUCCAGCUUGAUGAAAGCACUGAUAUUGGAAGCUGCACAACACUUUUAGUUUAUGUCAGAUAUGCGUGGCAAGAUGAUUUUUUGGAGGAUUUUUUGUGUUUUUUAAAUUUAACCUCACACCUAAGUGGUUUAGAUAUUUUUACAGAAUUAGAAAGGCACAUAGUUGGCCAAUAUAAAUUAAACUGGAAAAACUGUAAAGGAAUUACAAGUGAUGGCACAGCAACCAUGACUGGAAAACAUAGCAGAGUAAUUAAAAAAUUACUAGAAGUUACUAAUAAUGGUGCUGUGUGGAAUCAUUGUUUUAUACAUCGUGAAGGUUUAGCAUCCAGAGAAAUUCCACAGAAUCUCAUGGAAGUAUUGAAAAAUGCAGUGAAAGUUGUUAAUUUUAUUAAAGGAAGCUCAUUGAAUAGCCGGCUUCUUGAAACAUUUUGUUCAGAGAUUGGAACUAAUCAUACCCACUUACUAUAUCAUACCAAAAUUCGUUGGUUGUCUCAAGGGAAAAUACUAAGCAGGGUUUAUGAGCUCAGGAAUGAGAUUCACUUUUUUCUCAUUGAAAAAAAAUCUCAUUUGGCAAGUAUUUUUGAAGAUGAUACUUGGGUAACAAAAUUGGCAUAUUUAACUGAUAUUUUUAGCAUUCUUAAUGAACUGAGUUUAAAACUACAGGGGAAAAACAGUGAUGUAUUCCAACAUGUUGAACAUAUCCAGGGAUUUCGAAAGACAUUAUUGUUAUGGCAAGUAAGACUUAAAAGUAAUCGUCCUAGCUAUUACAUGUUUCCAAGAUUUUUGCAGCAUAUUGAAGAGAAUAUUAUUAAUGAAAACAUUUUGAAAGAAAUAAAAUUAGAGAUAUUGUUGCAUCUCACUUCUCUGUCUCAAACUUUUAACCAUUUCUUUCCAGAAGAAAAAUUUGAAACAUUAAGGGAAAACAGUUGGGUAAAAGAUCCAUUUGCUUUUCGAAACCCUGAAUCAAUAAUUGAGCUAAACUUGGUGCCUGAAGAAGAGAAUGAAUUAUUGCAGCUUAGUUCUUCAUAUACAUUGAAGAAUGAUUAUGAAACCUUAAGUUUAUCAGCAUUUUGGAUGAAGGUAAAGGAAGACUUUCCAUUGUUAAGUAGAAAGAGUGUCCUGCUAUUGCUACCAUUCACAACAACUAGUUUGUGUGAACUAGGGUUUUCCAUCUUAACGCAGUUAAAAACAAAGGAAAGAAAUGGGCUGAAUUGUGCAGCAGCUAUGCGGGUAGCAUUAUCUUCCUGUGUUCCAGACUGGAAUGAACUUAUGAACAGGCAAGCACACCCAUCAUAGUAAAUAAAAAUCUUACCUAGCUUUUGUCUUUGUAUUUCUUAUUUUGUAGUAUUUUUCUAUGUUAUAUUUAAAUGGUACUAUAAUAUUGUGAUACUUUUGUUAUGUUUUAAUUUUUGUUAUAUUUAAUAAAAUUAUUUUAUGUUCAUUGAACAAAAAUUUAAUGAAUUUCUGUUAGAGGCCAGGAACUAUUCCAGAGACAUUUGGGAUACAAAAGUGAACAAAACAGAUAAUUCCCUAGUAGAGUUUAUAUCCUGGCAAGGAGAAAUUGACAAUAAACCUAAUAAAUAAGGUUUAUAAUAUUUAGAAGCUAUUAAGUGCUAUGGAAAGAGUAGUAAGAAGGAAGGUCAGGGAAGUACUGGGGAACCAAAGCCUGAAGGGUUCUGUAGACCAUUAUUGGGCCUCUGGCUUUUGUCAGUGGACUAGAGAACAGUUGAAGGGUUUAAGCAAAGGAGAGAAAUGAUCUGAGCUAGGUUUUAAAAGACACUCUGGUCACUAUUUUAAAUUCUUAGGGUAAGUCUGAAUUAAAUGUUACUUUCCCCUCACUGGGCAUGGUGGCUCAGACCUGUAAUCCCCACACUUUGGCAGGCCAUGGCAGAAGGAUCUGUUGAGCCCAGGAGUUCAAGACCGUCCUGGGCAACAUAGUGAGACCUUAUUUCUACUAAAAAUACUUUUAAAAUAAGUCAGGUGUGGUGGUGCACACCUGUAGUCCCAGCUACUCAGGAGGCUGUGGCAGGAGGGUCGCUUGACCUCAGGAGUUUGAAGUUGCAGUCAUCUAUGAUUGAUUGCACCACUGCAGUCCAGCCUGAGCAACAGAGUGAAACCCUGUCUCGAAAAAAUUAAAUGUUACUUACCUAAAAAAACCUUUUCUAACCACCCUAGGGUAAAUCCUCCAUUAUUCCUUUAUUUCUUUGUUUUCCUUGUAGUAUAUAAUUUGUAAUAAUUUUGAUUACUGAUUGUCAUUCUGCCACCCUGGAGUAUAUAAUUUUUAAUUAUCUGAUUACUGUUAUUCUUCUAGUAGGGGAGGUGAUAUCCAUUUGCCUGAUACAUAGUAUGUGUUCAAUACACAUUUGCUAAAGAAUAAAUGAAUCAAUAAUACCUAACAUCUCUAAUUUGCAGUCAUUCCCAAGAGUAAUUAUUAAAUAUGUGGCAAAUUUCUUUGCCUUUUUUACUUUUAAAAAUCUAAUUUUGACAUAACUGCUGUAACCAUCCAGAAACGGCAUUGAUGUUGCUUCACGUUGUUGCUGAUGCUUAAGCAAUGUAUAUUGUGUAAUAUACAAUAUAGUCUUCAAACUAAUUUCAACUUCUGCCUUUCUGUGUACUCCCUUAUCCCACUGGGUGAUAUUAUUUGGCAUGGUCAUUCUCAUUAAAAUCAUACAGGAUAGUAAUUCCUUUCCAUCUGCUACCAUGCCUAGCCUUAUUUAAUUUUUCAGAUAUUCUAUUCUAUUGAAGGUAAUUGAUUUUUUCUUUUUUUUUAAUGCUUGAAAUAAAGUGUUGAAAAAC